AUGAAUUAAAUAUCGAACGCCAAAACCUAUUUAAUAACAGGGGUAGUACAGUAACCGAAAAGGAAAUUAUUCUACAUGCAAAAGCUGUACUAAUUUUGUGUGAGUAAUUUAGAAAUAUAUGAGGUCUUGCAAAUCAAAUAAUUUGAUGUAGGUAAUUCUUAAUUUUCAUAAAACAGUUCUGAACUGCUAUGACUGUGUGGAAACGAAGAAGCUUGGUAAUGAAAUAUAGAGAAAUUUGAAGAGUUCUCGUUGCCAGAAAUUUAAGGUAAAUGGAUUUUGUGAUAUUCAGGCAAACUGACUCCAGAGUAAGAUAAAACUUCAUAAAUUCUUUCCUAUGGUGCUUUGCUGAGACCUUUGGAUUUUAACUCGUAAACAAGUUCGCUUAAUGUGCGAUUUAUAAAUAUUUACAUAGAACUGCCCGGUCAAUAAGGUUGUUUUCUUCCUGAAAGUACAAACUGGCACGGUCGAAUUACAAUUAAAUUCUUUGGUAAGUUCUAAUGAACACUUGUGUAAAUUUUUACGAAAAUUAGCAUGUAUCUGUUACUUGGAUUUCCUUGUAAGAUAUUUCUAGGCGAGGCAUUUGAAAUUCGUACACACUUUGCCGGAUACCUCGUGUGCUAACGUCGA
Bombus impatiens (common eastern bumble bee) is the source of this 627-nucleotide long non-coding RNA. RefSeq lists it as uncharacterized. NCBI's taxonomy places the organism in Eukaryota, Metazoa, Arthropoda, Insecta, Hymenoptera, Apidae. The record is from RefSeq and is a predicted model, not a curated record. The transcript is spliced from 4 exons.